CGUUGAAAGACCGGUUCUCGUACAUUCACCGAAAUUAAGCAACGUCGAGCCUGGUCACUACUUGGAUGGGCGACCGCUUGGGAAUACCAGGUUUUGUAAG
Acanthosepion pharaonis is the source of this 100-nucleotide non-coding RNA. The record is from the annotation of a GenBank genome assembly. NCBI's taxonomy places the organism in Eukaryota, Metazoa, Mollusca, Cephalopoda, Sepiida, Sepiidae.